AGUGAAACGCUGGCGACGUGGUUAAGACAUGCAAGUCGAGGGGCAUCAGGAAGAAAGCUUGCUUUCUUUGCUGGCGACCGGCGCACGGGUGAGUAACACGUAUCCAACCUGCCCUUUACUCGGGGAUAGCCUUUCGAAAGAACGAUUAAUACCCGAUGGCAUAAUGAUUCCGCAUGGUUUCAUUAUUAAAGGAUUCCGGUAAAGGAUGGGGAUGCGUUCCAUUAGGUUGUUGGUGAGGUAACGGCCCACCAAGCCUUCGAUGGAUAGGGGUUCUGAGAGGAAGGUCCCCCACAUUGGAACUGAGACACGGGUCCAAACUCCUACGGGAGGCAGCAGUGAGGAAUAUUGGUCAAUGGGCGUUAGCCUGAACCAGCCAAGUAGCGUGAAAGGAUGAAGGCUCUAAUGGGUCGUAAAACUUCUUUUUAUAUAAGAAUAAAAGUGCAGUAUGUAUACUGUUUUGUAUGUAUUAUAUGAAUAAGGAUCGGCU
This 487-nucleotide ribosomal RNA is filed under the name uncultured bacterium. RNAcentral describes it as "bacterial SSU rRNA". It matches the Rfam family "Bacterial small subunit ribosomal RNA", at positions 32 to 498 of the family's 1533-position model. The record is from RNAcentral.